RNAcentral lists this ribosomal RNA (1237 nucleotides) under Escherichia coli. Its description in RNAcentral is "partial 23S ribosomal RNA". It matches the Rfam family "Bacterial large subunit ribosomal RNA", at positions 1 to 1268 of the family's 2925-position model. The record is from RNAcentral. Lineage: Bacteria; Pseudomonadati; Pseudomonadota; Gammaproteobacteria; Enterobacterales; Enterobacteriaceae.
GGGUUGUGAGGUUAAGCGACUAAGCGUACACGGUGGAUGCCCUGGCAGUCAGAGGCGAUGAAGGACGUGCUAAUCUGCGAUAAGCGUCGGUAAGGUGAUAUGAACCGUUAUAACCGGCGAUUUCCGAAUGGGGAAACCCAGUGUGUUUCGACACACUAUCAUUAACUGAAUCCAUAGGUUAAUGAGGCGAACCGGGGGAACUGAAACAUCUAAGUACCCCGAGGAAAAGAAAUCAACCGAGAUUCCCCCAGUAGCGGCGAGCGAACGGGGAGGAGCCCAGAGCCUGAAUCAGUGUGUGUGUUAGUGGAAGCGUCUGGAAAGGCGCGCGAUACAGGGUGACAGCCCCGUACACAAAAAUGCACAUGCUGUGAGCUCGAUGAGUAGGGCGGGACACGUGGUAUCCUGUCUGAAUAUGGGGGGACCAUCCUCCAAGGCUAAAUACUCCUGACUGACCGAUAGUGAACCAGUACCGUGAGGGAAAGGCGAAAAGAACCCCGGCGAGGGGAGUGAAAAAGAACCUGAAACCGUGUACGUACAAGCAGUGGGAGCAUGCUUAGGCGUGUGACUGCGUACCUUUUGUAUAAUGGGUCAGCGACUUAUAUUCUGUAGCAAGGUUAACCGAAUAGGGGAGCCGAAGGGAAACCGAGUCUUAACUGGGCGUUAAGUUGCAGGGUAUAGACCCGAAACCCGGUGAUCUAGCUAUGGGCAGGUUGAAGGUUGGGUAACACUAACUGGAGGACCGAACCGACUAAUGUUGAAAAAUUAGCGGAUGACUUGUGGCUGGGGGUGAAAGGCCAAUCAAACCGGGAGAUAGCUGGUUCUCCCCGAAAGCUAUUUAGGUAGCGCCUCGUGAACUCAUCUCCGGGGGUAGAGCACUGUUUCGGCAAGGGGGUCAUCCCGACUUACCAACCCGAUGCAAACUGCGAAUACCGGAGAAUGUUAUCACGGGAGACACACGGCGGGUGCUAACGUCCGUCGUGAAGAGGGAAACAACCCAGACCGCCAGCUAAGGUCCCAAAGUCAUGGUUAAGUGGGAAACGAUGUGGGAAGGCCCAGACAGCCAGGAUGUUGGCUUAGAAGCAGCCAUCAUUUAAAGAAAGCGUAAUAGCUCACUGGUCGAGUCGGCCUGCGCGGAAGAUGUAACGGGGCUAAACCAUGCACCGAAGCUGCGGCAGCGACGCUUAUGCGUUGUUGGGUAGGGGAGCGUUCUGUAAGCCUGUGAAGGUGUACUGUGAGG